Clupea harengus (Atlantic herring) is the source of this 587-nucleotide long non-coding RNA. The record is from Ensembl. NCBI's taxonomy places the organism in Eukaryota, Metazoa, Chordata, Actinopteri, Clupeiformes, Clupeidae.
GUGAGGUGUGGUUACUAGAGCAUCUUAGUUAUAAGAAUGUAUCUCUCUCAUUGUAAUCAUUUGAAUCUGUUUCUCCCCAUAGGAAGUACAGAUGUCUAUAACACUAUCACCCCCCUAUAUAUGCCACUGCAGAGAGAUGAUGAGGAAGAAUAUGAUGAUGUGGUUCCCUCCGACACUAGAGCAGAGGAACAUGUGUAACUGAGGAAAAGAAAGGGAGAGAUGAUAUGCUACAACAUCCAUAAAGCUCCAUGUACCUGUUACCGAGGCUUAGGACUUCCCUAACAUCCAAGAGUCACAGCUGUUUUUGCUUCUACUUUUUAGUUUUUAUGCCUUUGAGCAUCUAUUUAAAAUAGAGCAUUUGUGCUCUUAAUGUGUUUUCUAAAGCAGUGCCAUUUCCUCAAAUGUGUAAAUUGUAAAUGUAAACAGCCACAUACAUCUAUGAAUAUGUUUGGAAAGGACAGAAUAUCGACAAUGGCCUAAUCAAUCCUUCAUUUUAGUUGUUUUAAGAUUGUGAAAGACUGAGUUCAACUCCCAUAAGAUAGGCUAGGUGGCAGUCAAUUAGCUUAUGUGUUACUGUAGAUAUUUAC